This 433-nucleotide ribosomal RNA is filed under the name uncultured bacterium. RNAcentral's name for it is "partial 16S ribosomal RNA". It matches the Rfam family "Bacterial small subunit ribosomal RNA", at positions 29 to 507 of the family's 1533-position model. The record is from RNAcentral.
AACGAACGCUGGCGGCAUGCCUAACACAUGCAAGUCGAACGAGACCUUCGGGUCUAGUGGCGCACGGGUGCGUAACGCGUGGGAACCUGCCCUUAGGUUCGGAAUAACUCCCCGAAAGGGGUGCUAAUACCGGAUAAUGUCUUCGGACCAAAGAUUUAUCGCCUUUGGAUGGGCCCGCGUUGGAUUAGCUUGUUGGUAGGGUAAAAGCCUACCAAGGCGACGAUCCAUAGCUGGUUUGAGAGGAUGAUCCGCCACACUGGGACUGGGACACGGCCCAGACUCCUACGGGAGGCAGCAGUGGGGAAUAUUGGACAGUGGGCGAAAGCCUGAUCCAGCAAUGCCGCGUGAGUGAUGAAGGCCUUAGGGUUGUAAAGCUCUUUUACCCGGGAUGAUAAUGACAGUACCGGGAGAAUAAGCUCCGGCUAACUCCGUG